Molecule: ribosomal RNA, 346 nt
Filed under: uncultured bacterium
Lineage: Bacteria
Description: partial 16S ribosomal RNA
Rfam family: Bacterial small subunit ribosomal RNA
Source: RNAcentral
CCUACGGGCGGCAGCAGUGAGGAAUAUUGGUCAAUGGACGCAAGUCUGAACCAGCCAUGCCGCGUGCAGGAAGACGGCUCUAUGAGUUGUAAACUGCUUUUGUACGAGGGUAAACGCAGAUACGCGUAUCUGUCUGAAAGUAACGUACGAAUAAGGAUCGGCUAACUCCGUGCCAGCAGCCGCGGUAAUACGGAGGAGUCAAGCGUUAUCCGGAUUUAUUGGGUGUACAGGGUGCGUAGGCGGUCGGUUCAGUUAGAGGGGACAUCCCGCGGCUCAACUUCGGAAUUGCCUCUGAUACUGUUCGGCUAGAGCGUAGUUGCGGUAGGCGGAAUGUCUGGUGUAGCGG